ACGCACGCUGGCGGCGUGCUUAACACAUGCAAGUCGAACGGAAAGGCCCUGCUUGCAGGGUACUCGAGUGGCGAACGGGUGAGUAACACGUGGGUGAUCUGCCCUGGACUUCGGGAUAAGCCUGGGAAACUGGGUCUAAUACCGGAUAGGAGCCAUUUUUAGUGUGAUGGUUGGAAAGUUUUUUCGGUGUAGGAUGAGCUCGCGGCCUAUCAGCUUGUUGGUGGGGUAAUGGCCUACCAAGGCGGCGACGGGUAGCCGGCCUGAGAGGGUGGACGGCCACAUUGGGACUGAGAUACGGCCCAGACUCCUACGGGAGGCAGCAGUGGGGAAUAUUGCACAAUGGGCGCAAGCCUGAUGCAGCGACGCCGCGUGGGGGAUGACGGCCUUCGGGUUGUAAACUCCUUUCGCUAGGGACGAAGCUUUUUGUGACGGUACCUAGAUAAGAAGCACCGGCUAACUACGUG
Molecule: ribosomal RNA, 464 nt
Filed under: uncultured bacterium
Lineage: Bacteria
Description: partial 16S ribosomal RNA
Rfam family: Bacterial small subunit ribosomal RNA
Source: RNAcentral